This 465-nucleotide ribosomal RNA is filed under the name uncultured bacterium. Its description in RNAcentral is "partial 16S ribosomal RNA". It matches the Rfam family "Bacterial small subunit ribosomal RNA", at positions 28 to 507 of the family's 1533-position model. The record is from RNAcentral.
GACGAACGCUGGCGGCGUGCUUAACACAUGCAAGUCGAACGGAAAGGCCCCUUUGGGGGUACUCGAGUGGCGAACGGGUGAGUAACACGUGAGUAACCUGCCCUUGACUUCGGGAUAACUUCAGGAAACUGGGGCUAAUACCGGAUAGGAAUCCUUGCUGCAUGGUGGGGGUUGGAAAGCUUCGGCGGUUUUGGAUGGACUCGCGGCUUAUCAGCUUGUUGGUGGGGUAGUGGCUUACCAAGGCUUUGACGGGUAGCCGGCCUGAGAGGGCGACCGGCCACAUUGGGACUGAGAUACGGCCCAGACUCCUGCGGGAGGCAGCAGUGGGGAAUAUUGCACAAUGGGCGGAAGCCUGAUGCAGCAACGCCGCGUGCGGGAUGACGGCCUUCGGGUUGUAAACCGCUUUCAGCAGGGGCGAAGCUUGUGGUGACGGUACCUGCAGAAGAAGCACCGGCUAACUACGUG